Molecule: ribosomal RNA, 431 nt
Filed under: uncultured bacterium
Lineage: Bacteria
Description: partial 16S ribosomal RNA
Rfam family: Bacterial small subunit ribosomal RNA
Source: RNAcentral
AACGAACGCUGGCGGCAGGCUUAACACAUGCAAGUCGAGCGCCCCGCCAGGGGAGCGGCAGCCGGGUGAGUAACGCGUGGGAACGUACCUUUUGGUUCGGAACAACUCCGGGAAACUGGAGCUAAUACCGGAUAAGCCCUAACGGGGAAAGAUUUAUCGCCGAAAGGUCGGCCCGCGUCUGAUUAGCUCGUUGGUGAGGUAACGGCUCACCAAGGCGACGAGCAGUAGCUGGUCUGAGAGGAUGAUCAGCCACACUGGGACUGAGACACGGUCCAGACUCCUACGGGAGGGAGCAGUGGGGAAUACUGGACAAUGGGCGCAAGCCUGAUCCAGCCAUGCCGCGUGAGUGAUGAAGGCGUUAGGGUUGUAAAGCUCUUUUGUCCGGGAAGAUAAUGACUGUACCGGAAGAAUAAGCCCCGGCUAACUUCGUG